Molecule: long non-coding RNA, 692 nt
Organism: Carica papaya (papaya)
Lineage: Eukaryota; Viridiplantae; Streptophyta; Magnoliopsida; Brassicales; Caricaceae
Source: RefSeq, a predicted model, not a curated record
UACACAUGGAUGUACAGACAACAAAUAUAGGGUUAGGUCUGUGAGCAGCCGCUUCUACUUUCUAUUUGUUUUUGCAUUUCAAAUUUCUUUCUCCCUCGUAGGAAAUUGUGAUCUGCAUCCAUUUGUGUUUUUCUCCAUCGAUGACCGAAGAAUAUGUUGAAUCGAUGCGAUGAUGAGGAUGAUAGAGGAAAUCAUCGAUUGCGUGAUAGUUUCAUUUCCAUCUCGCAAGAUGAAUUCAUCUGUUUUUGUGGUGUACAACUUGUGAACGAAGGACCUAUGGAUGGAGCGCUGUAAUAGGUGCGGUCACAUCCAAGUUUGCCUUCGGAAAGCGAUGUCGAAAUCGGAUAAUCCGGAUCCGAUUUGUUUCGGAGUCGGUUUAAAUUUACAGAUCUGGUUUUCGAACACUUCCUUUUUUGUUUUAAAUGAGAAAUGGAUAUCGUUCUCUGAGAGCGAAGUUCCCAGCAGAGGGGUGAAAAUGCUCUGGAAUUGAGGCCCCUCUAACAAUAAUCCAAAACUACUUCGCAGAGUAAUCUGCCGAAUCGUAGGAUGCCCAUUACUAUCUAUUUUUGGAGCAUCUGGAACCCUCGGCUAAAUUUAUUUUGAUUAGAAAAUAAAUUGUGUUAAAAUUUUAUGAAAUUUUUAGGGAAAUUCAAAUAAUAUAUUAGUCUUUGAAAAGUCUAAACAUCCUAUAA